UGUCUCAGUUCGGAUUGGAGUCUGCAACCCGACUCCAUGAAGCUGGAUUCGCUAGUAAUCGCGCAUCAGCCACGGCGCGGUGAAUACGUUCCCGGGCCUUGUACACACCGCCCGUCAAGCCAUGGAAGCCGGGGGUGCCUGAAGUGCGUGACCGCAAGGAGCGCCCUAGGGUAAAACCGGUGACUGGGGCUAAGUCGUAACAAGGUACC
RNAcentral lists this ribosomal RNA (209 nucleotides) under uncultured bacterium. RNAcentral describes it as "partial 16S ribosomal RNA". It matches the Rfam family "Bacterial small subunit ribosomal RNA", at positions 1284 to 1500 of the family's 1533-position model. The record is from RNAcentral.